CCUACGGGCGGCAGCAGUGGGGAAUAUUGGACAAUGGGGGGAACCCUGAUCCAGCCAUGCCGCGUGUGUGAAGAAGGCCCUCGGGUUGUAAAGCACUUUCAGUGAGGAAGAACGCCUGGUGGUUAAUACCCAUCAGGAAAGACAUCACUCACAGAAGAAGCACCGGCUAACUCCGUGCCAGCAGCCGCGGUAAUACGGAGGGUGCGAGCGUUAAUCGGAAUUACUGGGCGUAAAGCGCGCGUAGGUGGCUUGAUAAGCCGGUUGUGAAAGCCCCGGGCUCAACCUGGGAACGGCAUCUGGAACUGUCAAGCUAGAGUGCAGGAGAGGAAGGUAGAAUUCCCGGUGUAGCGGUGAAAUGCGUAGAGAUCGGGAGGAAUACCAGUGGCGAAGGCGGCCUUCUGGACUGACACUGACACUGAGGUGCGAAAGCGUGGGUAGCAAACAGGAUUAGAUACCCCAGUAGUC
RNAcentral lists this ribosomal RNA (465 nucleotides) under Vreelandella stevensii. Its description in RNAcentral is "partial 16S ribosomal RNA". It matches the Rfam family "Bacterial small subunit ribosomal RNA", at positions 338 to 795 of the family's 1533-position model. Lineage: Bacteria; Pseudomonadati; Pseudomonadota; Gammaproteobacteria; Oceanospirillales; Halomonadaceae. The record is from RNAcentral.